CAGAGUGGGAGGGCGGCUGACGGUAGGACCACGGUCCGGCUGAGGAACUUCCCCUCUCCACAGGGCAAGGUGAAUUGGGAAAUCCAAUAGGGCGAGAGCCUUGGCAAGGGCCCAGAAACGACACAGUCCCGGUAACAAGGAUGAUCCGUCUGUCGGUGACAGUCCCGGGGAUCUGGUGAAACGGCGACACCUCACCGGAGCAAACUCAUACAGCCGGGAUGAACGGCCCGCGACCGGCGGGUAGAGCGCAUAGUCGAAUGCUGCCUGAAACAGAAAGGGGGGUACUACCCACACUG
RNAcentral lists this RNase P RNA (296 nucleotides) under Methanobacteriota archaeon. Its description in RNAcentral is "Euryarchaeota archaeon (anaerobic digester metagenome) RNase P RNA component". It matches the Rfam family "Archaeal RNase P". From Rfam's summary of the family: Ribonuclease P (RNase P) is a ubiquitous endoribonuclease, found in archaea, bacteria and eukarya as well as chloroplasts and mitochondria. Its best characterised activity is the generation of mature 5'-ends of tRNAs by cleaving the 5'-leader elements of precursor-tRNAs. The record is from RNAcentral. Lineage: Archaea; Methanobacteriati; Methanobacteriota.